RNAcentral lists this ribosomal RNA (1078 nucleotides) under Bacillus sp. (in: firmicutes). RNAcentral's name for it is "bacterial SSU rRNA". It matches the Rfam family "Bacterial small subunit ribosomal RNA", at positions 71 to 1139 of the family's 1533-position model. Lineage: Bacteria; Bacillati; Bacillota; Bacilli; Caryophanales; Bacillaceae. The record is from RNAcentral.
GAAGGGAGCUUGCUCCCGGAUGUUAGCGGCGGACGGGUGAGUAACACGUGGGUAACCUGCCUGUAAGACUGGGAUAACUCCGGGAAACCGGAGCUAAUACCGGAUAGUUCCUUGAACCGCAUGGUUCAAGGAUGAAAGACGGUUUCGGCUGUCACUUACAGAUGGACCCGCGGCGCAUUAGCUAGUUGGUGAGGUAACGGCUCACCAAGGCGACGAUGCGUAGCCGACCUGAGAGGGUGAUCGGCCACACUGGGACUGAGACACGGCCCAGACUCCUACGGGAGGCAGCAGUAGGGAAUCUUCCGCAAUGGACGAAAGUCUGACGGAGCAACGCCGCGUGAGUGAUGAAGGUUUUCGGAUCGUAAAGCUCUGUUGUUAGGGAAGAACAAGUGCAAGAGUAACUGCUUGCACCUUGACGGUACCUAACCAGAAAGCCACGGCUAACUACGUGCCAGCAGCCGCGGUAAUACGUAGGUGGCAAGCGUUGUCCGGAAUUAUUGGGCGUAAAGGGCUCGCAGGCGGUUUCUUAAGUCUGAUGUGAAAGCCCCCGGCUCAACCGGGGAGGGUCAUUGGAAACUGGGAAACUUGAGUGCAGAAGAGGAGAGUGGAAUUCCACGUGUAGCGGUGAAAUGCGUAGAGAUGUGGAGGAACACCAGUGGCGAAGGCGACUCUCUGGUCUGUAACUGACGCUGAGGAGCGAAAGCGUGGGGAGCGAACAGGAUUAGAUACCCUGGUAGUCCACGCCGUAACGAUGAGUGCUAAGUGUUAGGGGGUUUCCGCCCCUUAGUGCUGCAGCUAACGCAUUAAGCACUCCGCCUGGGGAGUACGGUCGCAAGACUGAAACUCAAAGGAAUUGACGGGGGCCCGCACAAGCGGUGGAGCAUGUGGUUUAAUUCGAAGCAACGCGAGAACCUUACCAGGUCUUGACAUCCUCUGACAACUCCUAGAGAUAGGGCUUUCCCUUUCGGGGACAGAGUGACAGUGGUGCAUGGCUUGUCGUCAGCUCGUGUCGUGAGAUGUUGGGGUUAAGUCCCGCAACGAGCGCACCCUGAUCUAGUGCCAGCAUUCAGCUGGCACU